Molecule: non-coding RNA, 186 nt
Filed under: Deltaproteobacteria bacterium
Lineage: Bacteria; Pseudomonadati; Myxococcota; Myxococcia
Description: 6S RNA
Rfam family: 6S / SsrS RNA
About the family: E. coli 6S RNA was the first non coding RNA to be sequenced, but its function was unknown until recently. It consists of 184 nucleotides that fold into an extended hairpin structure with a large single-stranded internal bulge.
Source: RNAcentral
UAUCCCCUGUGUGGUUUGUGAUGGGUUACGUCAUAGUAGAACCAACAUCGAGUUCGAGGGAGUUCUCCUUCCGUGCGGUCUGUGCCAGCCCCGCGGGUACGGGGACGCUAACGACCCAUGGAGCGGACACCCACCUGUUGAGACACAGGUUCUAACUCGACACCCACACGGCCCCACGGGGGAUGC